This 442-nucleotide ribosomal RNA is filed under the name uncultured bacterium. Its description in RNAcentral is "partial 16S ribosomal RNA". It matches the Rfam family "Bacterial small subunit ribosomal RNA", at positions 338 to 795 of the family's 1533-position model. The record is from RNAcentral.
CCUACGGGUGGCAGCAGUGGGGAAUAUUGGGCAAUGGGCGCAAGCCUGACCCAGCAACGCCGCGUGAAGGAAGAAGGCUUUCGGGUUGUAAACUUCUUGUAAGAGGGAAGAGCAGAAGACGGGACGUAUGGAAUAAGCCACGGCUAACUACGUGCGAGCAGCCGCGGUAAUACGUAGGUGGCAAGCGUUGUCCGGAUUUACUGGGUGGAAAGGGCGGGUAGCCGGGCUGAGAAGUCAGAUGUGAAAGCCCGUGGCUCAACCACGGAACUGCCUUUGAAACUGUCGGUCUUGAGUAUCGGAGAGGCAGGCGGAAUUCCUGGUGUAGCUGUGAAAUGCGUAGAUAUUAGGAGGAACACCAGUGGCGAAGGCGGCCUGCUGGACGACAACUGACGGUGAGGCGCGAAAGCGUGGGGAGCAAACAGGAUUAGAUACCCCAGUAGUC